GAUGAAGAACGCAGCGAAAUGCGAUAAGUAAUGUGAAUUGCAGAAUUCAGUGAAUCAUCGAGUCUUUGAACGCACAUUGCGCCCGCCAGUAUUCUGGCGGGCAUGCCUGUCUGAGCGUCAUUUCAACCCUCAGCCCCCGCUCGCGGGGCGCUGGCGUUGGGGAUCGGCCGUCCUCGCGGCGGCCGGCCCCGAAACACAGUGGCGGUCUCUCGCGGACUCCCCUGCGUAGUAGCACUACCUCGCAGAAGGGACGAGCGGGCUGACCACGCCGUAAAACCCCCCACUUCUCCAGGUUGACCUCAGAUCAGGUAGGAAUACCCGCUGAACUUAAGCAUAUCAAUAAGCGGAGGA
This 351-nucleotide unclassified non-coding RNA is filed under the name soil metagenome. RNAcentral's name for it is "partial contains 5.8S ribosomal RNA, internal transcribed spacer 2, and large subunit ribosomal RNA". The stretch from base 1 to 120 matches the Rfam family "5.8S ribosomal RNA", at positions 35 to 154 of the family's 154-position model. The record is from RNAcentral.